RNAcentral lists this unclassified non-coding RNA (167 nucleotides) under uncultured Oidiodendron. RNAcentral describes it as "sequence contains ITS1". The record is from RNAcentral. Lineage: Eukaryota; Fungi; Ascomycota; Leotiomycetes; Myxotrichaceae.
CAGAGUUCAUGCCCUCUGGGUAGAUCUCCCACCCACUGUCAUCACUACGAUUGUUGCUUUGGCGGGCCGCGGGGCCCUGCCCGGCCGCCAGCUCCGGCUGGCGUGUGCCCGCCAGAGGCUCCACAGACUCUGAAUGUUAGUGUCGUCUGAGUACUAUACAAUAGUUA